This 886-nucleotide ribosomal RNA is filed under the name Aerococcus sp. M_Sw_oHS_08/11_6_1(2). Its description in RNAcentral is "bacterial SSU rRNA". It matches the Rfam family "Bacterial small subunit ribosomal RNA", at positions 23 to 896 of the family's 1533-position model. The record is from RNAcentral. Lineage: Bacteria; Bacillati; Bacillota; Bacilli; Lactobacillales; Aerococcaceae.
GUCAGACGAACGCUGGCGGCAUGCCUAAUACAUGCAAGUCGAGCGAACAGAUGAAGUGCUUGCACUUCUGACGUAGCGGCGAACGGGUGAGUAACACGUAAGGAAUCUACCUAUAAGCGGGGGAUAACAUUCGGAAACGGGUGCUAAUACCGCAUAAUAUCUUCUUCCGCAUGGAAGAAGAUUGAAAGACGGCUCUGCUGUCACUUAUAGAUGACCUUGCGGUGCAUUAGUUAGUUGGUGGGGUAACGGCCUACCAAGACGAUGAUGCAUAGCCGACCUGAGAGGGUGAUCGGCCACAUUGGGACUGAGACACGGCCCAAACUCCUACGGGAGGCAGCAGUAGGGAAUCUUCCGCAAUGGGCGAAAGCCUGACGGAGCAAUGCCGCGUGAGUGAAGAAGGCCUUCGGGUCGUAAAACUCUGUUAUAAGAGAAGAACAAAUUGUAGAGUAACUGCUACAGUCUUGACGGUAUCUUAUCAGAAAGCCACGGCUAACUACGUGCCAGCAGCCGCGGUAAUACGUAGGUGGCAAGCGUUGUCCGGAUUUAUUGGGCGUAAAGGGAGCGCAGGUGGUUUCUUAAGUCUGAUGUGAAAGCCCACGGCUUAACCGUGGAGGGUCAUUGGAAACUGGGAAACUUGAGUACAGAAGAGGAAUGUGGAACUCCAUGUGUAGCGGUGGAAUGCGUAGAUAUAUGGAAGAACACCAGUGGCGAAGGCGACAUUCUGGUCUGUUACUGACACUGAGGCUCGAAAGCGUGGGGAGCAAACAGGAUUAGAUACCCUGGUAGUCCACGCCGUAAACGAUGAGUGCUAGGUGUUGGAGGGUUUCCGCCCUUCAGUGCCGCAGUUAACGCAUUAAGCACUCCGCCUGGGAGACAUCGCAGUUGG